RNAcentral lists this ribosomal RNA (264 nucleotides) under Triticum aestivum (bread wheat). RNAcentral's name for it is "partial small subunit ribosomal RNA". The record is from RNAcentral. Lineage: Eukaryota; Viridiplantae; Streptophyta; Magnoliopsida; Poales; Poaceae.
AUGUCUUACUUGAGAUGGUUGCCUCCCUGGCCUUAUUGCUGCUGCUGCUGGUUGCUUCCCCAUCCCCUUCCCCUACAGUGCUAUAUUGCAUCACUGAUCUGCACUGUUUGUUUGUCACUCAUUCAGCUUACUUACUGGGGCAUCUUUCUUGUGUUGCUGUUGCAUCUGGCGGAGCUGACGUUGGGUCCCCAAAAGGUAACCUUCAUCAGCCACAACCCCACAACAAUGGCUCAAGGUUCUGUGCCCCAUCACCCCUCUUUCUAA